RNAcentral lists this ribosomal RNA (356 nucleotides) under uncultured bacterium. Its description in RNAcentral is "bacterial SSU rRNA". It matches the Rfam family "Bacterial small subunit ribosomal RNA", at positions 29 to 371 of the family's 1533-position model. The record is from RNAcentral.
AACGAACGCUGGCGGCGUGCCUAACACAUGCAAGUCGAACGAGAAAGGGGCUUCGGCCCUGAGUAAAGUGGCGCACGGGUGAGUAACACGUAGGUAACCUACCUCUAAGUUUAGGACAACCUGUCGAAAGAUGAGCUAAUACUGAAUGAGACCACAGUUUCUUCGGAAGCAGAGGUCAAAGGUAGCCUCUAUUUAUAAGCUAUCACUUAGAGAUGGGCCUGCGUACCAUUAGCAGUUGGUGAGGUAACGGCUCACCAAGGCAAAGAUGGUUAGCUGGUCUGAGAGGAUGAUCAGCCACACUGGAACUGAGACACGGUCCAGACUCCUACGGAGGCAGCAGUGGGAAUAUUGCGCAA